AUUUUAUAUAUCGAGAUAGGUGCCCCCUUAUGGGGCUUAAUAGGGAAGACCGGUGUAAUGCCGGCGCGGUCCCGCCACUGUAAUGAGGAGUAAACCCACAUAAUGCCACUGGGACGAACGUCUUGGGAAGGUUUGGGUGAGCGAUGAUUCAGAGCCAGGAGAACUGCCUAUCUAACAGUCACCGU
RNAcentral lists this non-coding RNA (185 nucleotides) under Anaerosporomusa subterranea. Lineage: Bacteria; Bacillati; Bacillota; Negativicutes; Acetonemataceae. The record is from RNAcentral.